GGCGGCAUGGUCGAGUGGUAAGGUGAAGGACUGCAACUCCUUUUUCUGCAGUUCAAAAUCGGGUAUCGCCU
This is a non-coding RNA of Ilex paraguariensis (yerba mate), 71 nucleotides long. The record is from the annotation of a GenBank genome assembly. NCBI's taxonomy places the organism in Eukaryota, Viridiplantae, Streptophyta, Magnoliopsida, Aquifoliales, Aquifoliaceae.